GCCGGAGUAGCUCAGCCGGUAGAGCGGCGCACUCGUAAUGCGCAGGUCUGGAGUUCGAUUCUCCACUCUGGCU
RNAcentral lists this transfer RNA (73 nucleotides) under Treponema sp. Its description in RNAcentral is "tRNA-Thr". It matches the Rfam family "tRNA". Rfam says of the family: Transfer RNA (tRNA) molecules are approximately 80 nucleotides in length. Their secondary structure includes four short double-helical elements and three loops (D, anti-codon, and T loops). The record is from RNAcentral. Lineage: Bacteria; Pseudomonadati; Spirochaetota; Spirochaetia; Treponematales; Treponemataceae.